UAGGGAAUCUUCGGCAAUGGGGGCAACCCUGACCGAGCAACGCCGCGUGAGUGAAGAAGGUUUUCGGAUCGUAAAGCUCUGUUGUAAGAGAAGAACGUGUGUGAGAGUGGAAAGUUCACACAGUGACGGUAACUUACCAGAAAGGGACGGCUAACUACGUGCCAGCAGCCGCGGUAAUACGUAGGUCCCGAGCGUUGUCCGGAUUUAUUGGGCGUAAAGCGAGCGCAGGCGGUUUAAUAAGUCUGAAGUUAAAGGCAGUGGCUUAACCAUUGUUCGCUUUGGAAACUGUUAAGCUUGAGUGCAGAAGGGGAGAGUGGAAUUCCAUGUGUAGCGGUGAAAUGCGUAGAUAUAUGGAGGAACACCGGUGGCGAAGGCGGCUCUCUGGUCUGUAACUGACGCUGAGGCUCGAAAGCGUGGGGAGCAAACAGG
Molecule: ribosomal RNA, 429 nt
Filed under: bacterium
Lineage: Bacteria
Description: partial 16S ribosomal RNA
Rfam family: Bacterial small subunit ribosomal RNA
Source: RNAcentral